RNAcentral lists this small RNA (28 nucleotides) under Bombyx mori (domestic silkworm). Its description in RNAcentral is "ovarian small RNA-33598". Lineage: Eukaryota; Metazoa; Arthropoda; Insecta; Lepidoptera; Bombycidae. The record is from RNAcentral.
UGCAUGUGUUUACAAAUAAAAUGACAUG